Molecule: long non-coding RNA, 4527 nt
Filed under: Mus caroli (Ryukyu mouse)
Lineage: Eukaryota; Metazoa; Chordata; Mammalia; Rodentia; Muridae
Description: lncRNA (MGP_CAROLIEiJ_G0006657.1)
Source: RNAcentral
GCACUCAAUCAGAGCGAUCCUAGGCUCGCACGGCGGCUGUCCACUGUUUCCCUCCGCCCACCGCACCGACGCCCGGGCGCCCACACCACCCUUUCCCCGACCACCCUCUGCGCAGCGGGGGCCCAAGCGGCGGGACACAGGCUCUCGGACCCGGAGCCGGUUCCCGCUUCUCUCGCUAGAGGGCAGACAGGGCCCGCUCAAAGCCAUCAGACCGAAGGGCACGCGCAGCCGGUAGAGAUCCCGCAAUCGGAGCCGCACUCCAGGGCUGGGCUCCGCGACCAACGCGGGGGCCGAGAGCAGAGCCCGGGAGCGCGACGCACGGCAGACCCGGAGGACCCGGGAGGAACGGCCAGCAAUCUCGGGGUGCGCACAGCGCACGAGCACCAGGUGGAGGCGGAGGCGGCGCCGGCACGGCAGCUCGGGGACCGGGUUGGGCUCCAAGAGAGCUGCGCGAGGACACAUGGGACGCGGCUAGGUGCUCGCCUGGGAGCAGCGGAGCGGCUGGCACUCACCUGGGCUCCGGUCGCCUUCGGCGGGCUUCCCGCGGGAUCCCCGGUCCUUCUUCUUGCCCUUCCCCUUGCCUCUGCCUUCUUUGCGCUCAGACAUCUCGCUAAAGAUGAGCGCUCUACGCGGACCCCGCUGGGCGACGGUGACGCGCGACAAGUUUGGUCCAAGGGCUUGCAGAAAAGUUUGUCCCGGGAGGGAAGAGCCAGCGGCCGGGGUGCGCGGGGGCGUCGCCUGUCGCCUGCAGGGAGCUGCGUGGACUCGAUCACCUGGAGCGUCCGCUACGUCUGGGGGUGUCUCGGGGCUACUCUUGUGUCCCGGGUCCUGCUGCUGCCGGCUCUGGAGUGGCCUCGCUCCGGUGGCCUGUCUCGCUCCCUUACAGCCUGAAGAGGGAAAGGUGCUCAGUCCGGUCUAUGCUCGCAUCUCCCGGCAGCUGCCGCCGCUGCGCUGCGCUCCGCUCCUGCUGCCGGCGUGGCCCGGAGUUCCCACAAGUUUUGGGGAAGUCCUAGCCGGCUCUUUUUCAAUUGCCCGCAGGUUGGACGCAGGCACCUCCUUCGCACCCUCCCCUCGCCUCGCCCCCUCCCUCUUUCCCCACCACACCCCCACCCCGAGGCGCAGACACGCCACCGGGAGGAGCCUGAGCUGGGCGAUCACGGCUCAGCCCCUUUCUUCUGGCAGCCGGGCCAGCCUAGGGGCGGCGGAGCCCAGCGGCUGCCGGGAACUCCCGACAGGGGUCGCUGGAAGCUUCUCUGACAAAGUCGCAGCCGCCGCCGGACAGAACAGAGCAGUCUGGAGAGGCCAGGAAGGCAGGAAGGGACCCUGGUGCUCGCAGUCUCUGGCAGGCUGUGGGGCUGAUCCAAGCCUUGAAAAGAGGGGGGGGGGGGGGGGGGGNNNNNNNNNNNNNNNGCAACCGUAGCACCUGCCCCAUAAUGAAAGCUCUGGAGACCUGGAGCCCCGGGGAGGGGAAAGGAACAGUUGCUAUUUUCCAGAAGGGUUCAGAGUUCAUUUCUCUCUUGCUUUAGGGAAGUUUCCCUCUGGCACUAAGGGCGAAGGUGCAGUCUGGAGUGGAAGGGAGUUUGAGGUACCCAGGAAGGGUUCUGUGAACUUCAAGCAUGAACAGCUUGCACUUCGUACAUCUGCCACUUGAGCAUGUGUCUGCCUUCCCGUGCUAAAUAGCAUGACUGUUGGAUUUCCCAUCUCCAUUUAAAAAAAUACUCUAGCUUCUUCCCAAGCACGCGUAUCUCCUUACUACAGCUUUAUUUUCAAAAGAACUGAGGAGCCAUAGUUCACCAUAGACAGUAACAUGUCUAAGGUGUGUAUGGGUACAAGUCAGAUGCGCGCAGGGCGGCGGGGGAGGGGGGGAGUUGGGACCGUAGAACUAUAGUGCAGACCCUUAGUUCAGUAAUGCCAGCCCCCUCCCACACCCAUUAGACUUUCUGAGAAUUGCUAGUGAAUCCUAGUGUUCCUGUAUCCAGGUGGAGAACUCUAAGGAAUAGUCAGAGGCCAGAGUGAUCUGCACCAAGGAGUGAUUCACAAUGGUCUCCACGUAGAGACAGAUGCUGUCAUCAACACACAGUUGUGGCCAACUUAGCCUGCUCUUUUACUGAUGGUAUAGAGUUGUGGUGGAGAAACAGCUGGCACCAACGAUCAAUAUUCUACAGCUAUCCCACUUUCAGAGUGAUUUAGCUCCUUCCUUUUCACUUCCUGGAGUUAAUGUUAACAGACCCGUGGCUGUCCACAGCUUUCUCUGUGUUCUCUGUCUGCCACGAUUUAAAUAAAGGUGAAAUCCAGAGUGGAAAACAGGGCAAAGAUGUUCAUUUUAAAUCGUCUUAAGAAUCACUUCCAUCCUACUUUAAUUUUCGUUGGAUUAAGAAUCAAACUGUAAGAUAGGUGCAAUUGUUAAGAUAGCUCAACAGUACUGCAUCCUUCUUUACUCUUAAACCUUUAGUGUCCAGACACCUUGAUAGCUUUGCAGCAAAUACCACAUACUGUGGUAUUUGUGCCAAACAGCAGAACCCCAGGAAAGAUUAUGACUCUGAAAAGCACUGCAGCCGGGCUGGGCCGUGCAGAGUGAAGAGAAAGUGGCCCCAGUGCUGGCUGGAAUAACUCCACUUUCCCAGGAGGGGCCACUGCUCAGCCAGCGAGGAGCGAGCAGCAGCAAGCCGCUGAAAGCAGAAACCUUACAUUUCAGAGUGUAUUUCUCUGGAGGAUGUGAGGCAGUUAGAGAGCUCACGAUUACUAACCACAUGUUGUCAGACACCAGCAUUUUAGAAUCAAAGGGCUGAAAACAAGCUUGCAUCUUGGAACUUAAAUAAGUGUAAGAUCUUCCCAAAUACUUGGGUAAUCAAAACCCAAGGCUACAGGAACACCAUCGUCUACCUUUUGUUCCCGAGUCUAGAUGCGUUACUUCCCAGAACACCUUCUUCAUGGUGGGAGUAUCUCCAGGAGGAUAGAAGGAGUCUACACUUCCUGAAAUUUUCUACUUGAAUAAAACCACUGUGAUGGGUGACAGUGGUUACAAAAACCUCCAAACUAUUUUACCAAGAAAAAUGACUGAUGCUCCAGUAACUUCAGAAGAAAGCACCAGCAGUGUUCCCAUGGAAACUGUGGAGGUGGGGAAUGGAUGGAUAUGGUUUGGAUGUAAGCGGUAACUAGCAGUACAUGAUUUUUUUAAACUUGGUUAGAUGACGAUGGAAGAGGAGAAGUAGGGAGAUGAGUUUCGGUAGUAGGUGUUGACGGAAAUUUCAAGACACAUGACAGAGGGUCAUCUAAUGGCAAGGCUGCUUCCUAGAACUUUGCCCUGAUUCUGGAAUCCUAUUUUAUUGUCAAUUAAAGCUGAAUUAGCAGGAACUUUUCCACAAAGCCAUUGAUUUUUUAUGUUAUUUUGUGUUGAUUUCUUGAGUAUAUUUUACUACAUGAUUUACAACCAACUGAAAGAUUAACCAAAAAGUCAAUUUCUUCGAUAGUUAAAAUAUUUAUGAGAUUGGUCAAGACUUCAAAAUUGUGCUUAAAUUAUUCAUUUCUGUGGUCAGUAAGUGGCAAAUGUAAUGGUUUUGUGUUUUAAAAAAAUACUUUGGAACUGACUUAAGGACUAAAAAAAAAAAGUAUUCUUUUUAAAAACUAUUUAAGCAGGUGUGGAGAUGAUUCAUCUUGUAAUCUCCGAACUUCAGCAGAUGAGGCAGAAGUACCACCAGGGGCCUUAAGGCCAGCCUGAGCUUCAGAAGGAGAUCACAAGUAACACAGACCCAAAAUGUUACAAAUAUAACUAGUUAAAUAGAAUAUAUUAAAUGUUAGUGUUAGUCAAAACAUUUCAAAGUGAAAUAACUUAGUGAAUUUAAUAAACUUGUUAUGUUUUGUUCAGCUCCUUGAACAGGUAUCAUAUAUGGCUGGCCAGCUACCAACUUACACACCAAAGUGUCAACAUACAUCAACCGACAGAAGAAGAGGACGUUAUAAAAUCACCCGGAGAAAUGAAGGUGAGAAGGCGGCUUGCACAGAAUGACAGAAUGUCAAGGUGUUUUCUUUAAAUCGCCUUUGAGAGUUUCACCUGUGUGCUACGCUGACUGGCUCUGUCCAUUCCCUUGGUCUAAAUCUACAAGCACAGGCUUCGUGAGCAGGCUUAAUGACCUCUCCUUGCUCCAAGCCUGGGAUGCACAGCUUCUCUUUCCACCAGCUUAUUUCUCACUCCACACAACAGUGGUCUGCCUCCAUCCAAUCACUGAAUCAAGUGACUCUCCCUGGCCGCCUUGGAACCACCUUGGAGUUCAGCUGUAAGUCCUCUUUACAUUCUGCUUUUACCCACUGUCCUUAUGCACACAGCAGAUAAAAAUGGGCUUCUCUGUGCAUUCUUAUAGCUCAGACUCUGUGUGCAUUUAACAAAUAUUCAAGAGAGAAAUCACAUGCCUUGAUGGCUUUUAAACAUCAGCCCGCAAGAUUCUCUCCAAGGUUAACAUUUUUUUCCUUUGAAAUACACUUUCCCGUGCCUGGGAAAAGAGUCCUCCCUAUUAAAUUUAUAAUGAUGCU